AGAGCACUGAAUGUCCUAGGGGGUAUUGCACCUACCGAAGACUAUCAAACUCCGAAUGCCGUCAUCUUAUACUUGGGAGUCAGACUGUGGGUGAUAAGAUUCAUAGUCGAAAGGGCAACAGCCCAGAUCGUCAGCUAAGGUCCCUAAAUGUAAGUUAAGUGGUAAAGGAUGUGGGAUUGCACAGACAACCAGGAUGUUGGCUUAGAAGCAGCCACUCAUUCAAAGAGUGCGUAAUAGCUCACUGGUCGAGUGAUCCUGCGCCGAAGAUUUCCGGGGCUAAAACUUACUACCGAAGCUACGGCAUCAGUAAUGAUGGGUAGGGGAGCUUCCCAUACGGGUUGAAGCAUGACCGUAAGGACAUGUGGACAGUAUGGGAGUGAGAAUGUUGGCAUGAGUAGCGAGAUGUGGGUGAGAAUCCCACAGGCCGUAAACCCAAGGUUUCCAGGGGAAGGUUCGUCCGCCCUGGGUUAGUCGGGACCUAAGCUGAGGCCGAAAGGCGUAGGUGAUGGACAACAGGUUGAUAUUCCUGUACUACCGAUAACCGUUUGAGAGAUGGGAUGACACAGUAGGAUAAGCUAAGCACACUGUUGGUUAUGUGUGCCCAAGCAUUGAGGCAGUCAAAGUAGGUAAAUCCGCUUUGAUAAUGCUGGGAUGUGAUGGGGAGCGAAAUUUAGUAGCGAAGUAGCUGAUUUCACACUGUCAAGAAAAGUCUCUAUCGAGGUUAAAGGUACCCGUACCGCAAACCGACACAGGUGGGUGAGGAGAGUAUCCUAAGGCCAGCGAGAGAACUGUUGUUAAGGAACUCGGCAAAAUGACCCCGUAACUUAGGGAUAAGGGGUGCCACCAUCAGGUGGCCGCAGAGAAUAGGCCCAAGCGACUGUUUACCAAAAACAUAGGUUUCUGCUAAGUCGCAAGACGAUGUAUAGGAGCUGACGCCUGCCCGGUGCUGGAAGGUUAAGGGGAUCUGUUAGAGCAAUCGAAGCAGUGAACUUAAGCCCCAGUAAACGGCGGCCGUAACUAUAACGGUCCUAAGGUAGCGAAAUUCCU
This 1047-nucleotide ribosomal RNA is filed under the name Clostridioides difficile. Its description in RNAcentral is "partial 23S ribosomal RNA". It matches the Rfam family "Bacterial large subunit ribosomal RNA", at positions 904 to 1969 of the family's 2925-position model. Lineage: Bacteria; Bacillati; Bacillota; Clostridia; Peptostreptococcales; Peptostreptococcaceae. The record is from RNAcentral.